ACGUGAUCUGAGUUCAGACCGGAGCAAUCCAGGUCGGUUUCUAUCUAUAAAGAGCUUUUUCUAGUACGAAAGGACCGUAAAAGCACGGCCUAUGCCCAAGGUAAGCCAUAUUCACUAAUUUAUGAUUUAAACUCAAUAAACAACUGACCUCCAACUUUAUUCUAGACAAGAAUA
Molecule: ribosomal RNA, 174 nt
Filed under: Bromeliohyla bromeliacia (bromeliad treefrog)
Lineage: Eukaryota; Metazoa; Chordata; Amphibia; Anura; Hylidae
Description: partial 16S ribosomal RNA
Source: RNAcentral